GUGCAAUAGCGAUAGUAACGGUUAUCCUUUUGUUUUUUAUUGGAUCUGGCAAAGGCAAAAAACAAAAGAUAAUAGUGGAUAGCGCGACCCAAG
Molecule: small RNA, 93 nt
Filed under: Epilithonimonas hungarica
Lineage: Bacteria; Pseudomonadati; Bacteroidota; Flavobacteriia; Flavobacteriales; Weeksellaceae
Description: Chryseobacterium hungaricum Flavo-1 RNA
Rfam family: Flavo-1 RNA
Source: RNAcentral